Molecule: transfer-messenger RNA, 376 nt
Filed under: Methyloglobulus sp.
Lineage: Bacteria; Pseudomonadati; Pseudomonadota; Gammaproteobacteria; Methylococcales; Methylococcaceae
Rfam family: transfer-messenger RNA
About the family: Bacterial tmRNA, also known as 10Sa RNA or SsrA, is named for its dual tRNA and mRNA-like properties. Its role is to liberate the mRNA from a stalled ribosome. To accomplish this part of the tmRNA is used as a reading frame that ends in a translation stop signal.
Source: RNAcentral
GGGGGCGACAUGGCUUCGACGUGGGUAGCAAAACCUUGAGUGCAUGCCGAGGACUGUACACCUCGUAAAUCCUACAGAAAAAAAGUAUUCGCAAACGACGAAAACUACUCGGUGGCUUUAGCAGCUUAAACCCUGCACCACCUCUCUGGCUGUGUGUGCUUAUGCGUGCAGAGUCCUUCGGGACAUCCAGGGAUCAUCUUACAUAAGAUCGCGCCAGGGCUUAGUUCGGAGCCUAAAGCGCUAAACCCAAUCGAAAUCGCUGGUGAUUUUCUUGGCCCGACGGGUAGUCAUCAGCUAAACCAAAGCGCGGGAUAAGCAUGUAGACCUUGUGGCGGAGUGCUUGCGGACGGGGGUUCAAUUCCCCCCGCCUCCACCA